RNAcentral lists this ribosomal RNA (305 nucleotides) under uncultured bacterium. Its description in RNAcentral is "bacterial SSU rRNA". It matches the Rfam family "Bacterial small subunit ribosomal RNA", at positions 337 to 634 of the family's 1533-position model. The record is from RNAcentral.
ACCUACGGGGGGCAGCAGUAGGGAAUCUUCCACAAUGGGCGAAAGCCUGAUGGAGCAACGCCGCGUGGGUGAAGAAGGUCUUCGGAUCGUAAAACCCUGUUGUUAGAGAAGAAAGUGCGUGAGAGUAACUGUUCACGUUUCGGCGGUAUCUAACCAGAAAGCCACGGCUAACUACGUGCCAGCAGCCGCGGUAAUACGUAGGUGGCAAGCGUUAUCCGGAUUUAUUGGGCGUAAAGGGAACGCAGGCGGUCUUUUAAGUCUGAUGUGAAAGCCUUCGGCUUAACCGGAGUAGUGCAUUGUAAACU